Molecule: ribosomal RNA, 253 nt
Filed under: uncultured bacterium
Lineage: Bacteria
Description: partial 16S ribosomal RNA
Rfam family: Bacterial small subunit ribosomal RNA
Source: RNAcentral
UACGAAGGUCCCAAGCGUUAUCCGGAUUUAUUGGGUCUAAAGGGUGCGUAGGCGGGCUAUUAAGUCAGUGGUGAAAUCUCCGAGCCUAACUCGGAAAUUGCCAUUGAUACUGAUGGUCUUGAGUACAUUUGAAGUGGGCGGAAUGUGUCAUGUAGCGGUGAAAUGCUUAGAUAUGACACAGAACACCGAUUGCGUAGGCAGCUCACUAAACUGUAACUGACGCUGAGGCACGAAAGCGUGGGGAGCAAACAGG